Molecule: ribosomal RNA, 466 nt
Filed under: uncultured bacterium
Lineage: Bacteria
Description: partial 16S ribosomal RNA
Rfam family: Bacterial small subunit ribosomal RNA
Source: RNAcentral
GACGAACGCUGGCGGCGUGCUUAACACAUGCAAGUCGAACGGAAAGGCCCUGCUUUUGUGGGGUGCUCGAGUGGCGAACGGGUGAGUAACACGUGAGUAACCUGCCCUUGACUUUGGGAUAACUUCAGGAAACUGGGGCUAAUACCGGAUAGGAGCUCCUGCUGCAUGGUGGGGGUUGGAAAGUUUCGGCGGUUGGGGAUGGACUCGCGGCUUAUCAGCUUGUUGGUGGGGUAGUGGCUUACCAAGGCUUUGACGGGUAGCCGGCCUGAGAGGGUGACCGGCCACAUUGGGACUGAGAUACGGCACAGACUCCUACGGGAGGCAGCAGUGGGGAAUAUUGCACAAUGGGCGGAAGCCUGAUGCAGCAACGCCGCGUGCGGGAUGACGGCCUUCGGGUUGUAAACCGCUUUCGCCUGUGACGAAGCGUGAGUGACGGUAAGGGGUAAAGAAGCACCGGCUAACUACG